Desmophyllum pertusum is the source of this 72-nucleotide non-coding RNA. Lineage: Eukaryota; Metazoa; Cnidaria; Anthozoa; Scleractinia; Caryophylliidae. The record is from the annotation of a GenBank genome assembly.
GGUGUGGUGGACUAAUGGUAGCUCGUUGGAUGCCGGAUCGAGCGGUCCAGGUUCGAGCCCUGGCCUGGUUCA